AGUGAACGCUGGCGGUAGGCCUAACACAUGCAAGUCGAACGGCAGCACAGUAAGAGCUUGCUCUUACGGGUGGCGAGUGGCGGACGGGUGAGGAAUACAUCGGAAUCUACUUUUUCGUGGGGGAUAACGUAGGGAAACUUACGCUAAUACCGCAUACUACCUACGGGUGAAAGCAGGGGAUCUUCGGACCUUGCGCGUUUGAUUGAGCCGAUGUCGGAUUAGCUAGUUGGCGGGGUAAAGGCCCACCAAGGCGACGAUCCGUAGCUGGUCUGAGAGGAUGAUCAGCCACACUGGAACUGAGACACGGUCCAGACUCCUACGGGAGGCAGCAGUGGGGAAUAUUGGACAAUGGGCGCAAGCCUGAUCCAGCCAUACCGCGUGGGUGAAGAAGGCCUUCGGGUUGUAAAGCCCUUUUGUUGGGAAAGAAAAGCAGCAGGUUAAUACCCCGCUGUUCUGACGGUACCCAAAGAAUAAGCACCGGCUAACUUCGUG
RNAcentral lists this ribosomal RNA (492 nucleotides) under uncultured bacterium. RNAcentral's name for it is "partial 16S ribosomal RNA". It matches the Rfam family "Bacterial small subunit ribosomal RNA", at positions 29 to 507 of the family's 1533-position model. The record is from RNAcentral.